UACGUAGGGGGCAAGCGUUGUCCGGAAUCAUUGGGCGUAAAGAGCGUGUAGGCGGCCAGAUAAGUCCGCUGUGAAAUCUCGAGGCUCAACUUCGAGCUGUCGGUGGAAACUGUCUGGCUAGAGUCCGGAAGAGGAGAAUGGAAUUCCUGGUGUAGCGGUGAAAUGCGCAGAUAUCAGGAAGAACACCCGUGGCGAAGGCGGUUCUCUGGGACGGUACUGACGCUGAGGAGCGAAAGCGUGGGGAGCAAACAGG
This 253-nucleotide ribosomal RNA is filed under the name uncultured bacterium. Its description in RNAcentral is "partial 16S ribosomal RNA". It matches the Rfam family "Bacterial small subunit ribosomal RNA", at positions 524 to 776 of the family's 1533-position model. The record is from RNAcentral.